UUACAGUAAAGAGGAAAAACUCAUUUAUUUUGCCAUGAAUUUCACACUGUGAAAAAAAAUCUGUCACAUGUACAAACAAUGUUGUAAAAAAUUUAAACAUGACAGAAAAAAUGAAAGCAAAUGCACAUUGAAAGUGUUUAUAAAGAAGUUUCCAUCAUUUUGGUGAAUGCCUACUGCAAGCCAGCCAGGGAGAACACACUACACGUAAGCGAGCUGAAUCCCAAUAAAGGGGGAAGAGAGAGGGGGCAAAAAGAGAAAUGAGAGAGGGAAAAUAUGACACUGAACAAUCACUUGUAAAUUGGAGGGGCACUCACUGUUGACUGUUGCCAGGGUAACUUAUGUUCUAAAAGGAACCCUCUUAUCUGAUUGGUGAGGAGAAAGGUGCAGUGUUCUGUGGGCAGGUUGGUUGGUUAGGGGGUCGACAUCAGGAGGGAGGUGGGUUGGGAGGUGGGAGGUGGGAGGAGGGUUGGGAGGUGGGAGGAGGGUUGGGAGGUGGGAGGAGGGUUGGGAGGUGGAAGUUGGGCUGUGAGGAGGGCUGGGAGGUGGAAGUUGGGCUAUGAGGAGGGCUGGGAGGUGGAAGUUGGGCUGUGAGGAGGGCUGGGAGGUGAAAGUUGGGCUGUGAGGAGGGUUGGGAGGUGGGAGGUGGGCUAGGAGGUGGGAGGAGGGUUGGGAGGUGGAAGUUGGGCUGUGAGGAGGGCUGGAAGGUGGAAGUUGGGCUGUGAGGAGGGCUGGGGGGUAGAAGUUGGGCUGUGAGGAGGGCUGUGAGGUUUGGGUGGCUCAAAUAAUCAAACAGGAAUGUGGAAUACAAGGGAUUGAGGCCAUUCACUGAAUCCACCCAGAACACAUCCUGCCUGGGAAAAUCUAUACAACUGUUAGCUUUUAUGUUGACCUUGACAAUGAUUUCAUCAUGCUAAACUGUACAUGUCAAUAUUUUGGCCACCCAGACAGACAAACAGACAAAAACAUCCAGAAAUCAACUACUGGUACAAAACUGUAGAUGCAAGUAUUUAAGACAUUCUCUUUGUUGGUCUUUGGAACUCUCCCCUGUCAUAUUCCCUCCCAUACAUCAGUGCCCAUAUGGUGAAGAGCACUGCGGUGUCUGCCUGCCCUUUACAUUUACAGGAGUCAGUUAACUACACAUCCUCUUCCUCCUCCUCAUCUUCACACUCACACUACACUAAAAUGUCAGUAUUCUGACUUGAGAUCUACAUGCUUAGCUUGUAUUUUUCAUGCAAGUCUCCCAUUGACAUUGAUAAAUGAUGUACACAGAAGUCUGAGCUACAUACGCUCGUCUCAAGUCAGAAUAUUGAAUAUUUGAGUGUGGGACUUAAAAUAAAGCAGAUAUGCCUCAUAGCAGAGUCGACAUUUAAAUGUGAGAUGUUACUCUACCCAGAGUCCACCUCUAAAACAAACACAUUCCCACCCACUGGCCACUUACACUCUAGGUAAUCUAAAGUGUCCAUCCGUAUACUGACUCCUAACUCCAGACCUCUGACCUGUUUACCUCACUGACCAUAUGGUUGGAACAGGUUGCACUUUGGGAGAAACUGAACUGUGCAAAAAAAGCAGACCAAAGGAUAAACAAUAAAAUAGAGCAUCUAUAACAAGGGUCAUGCAUGAUUUACCCUUAAAAAGAUCUACAUUCAUUUACCUGGAAAUGAAUGCAGGCAGAGAAACAAUAAAUAAAGUAAAGUCAUUUUUGUAUAAAUUAAGAUUUAUGAAACAUGAUACACUGGAGCAAGAUAAGACAAGAAUGUAUUACGUUUCCGUUUUGGUUAGGAAGUUAACAAGAUGCUCUUGGCCAGAGAAGUUCAUCAUGCCAAUCAUACUUGAGUCCCCAUAUCCAUGGUGCAUGCUCUGAAGAGUUCAGAAUAAUCUUCUAGGCAAAGUAGAAAAUGUAUCCAUCAGUGAUCCAACAAAACAAUACUGCUCAUUGGAAUGACUUCGGAACAAACAGUAAAUAGUGUGCAAGAGCAAACCCUUCAGGGCUGGAUGCAAUCCGUAAAGGAAGCUUAACAUUUUAAAGGUCAUUUCCGAUUGAGCCGACAUAUGCAGCUAUUACCGUGAAUGCAGUCUCCGCGAACAUGGAAACAUUGCCUUUCAAUUUCAAUCACGCUGUAAUCCUGAUAUUCAGCACUACAGAUUGAAUCGAGCCCUUAGUGUCCAACUGAGCUUGAAUUAGCAUUUUCUUCAGUUCUGUGUUGCAUUGUCCACUUCUCUUCUUUGAUCAUUGUUAUUUUGGGUCAGGAGAGUGUAGUGACCUACAGCAAGAAUGGCGUUGGGGGAGGCAGGGCGAAAGGGGGUGGUAACUUUACAUCGGUAGACAUGUCAGGACAUGACCCUCCUUCACCCUCUCCCCAACUCCCCUCUCAGACUCAGCUGGUGCUGGCACUUCAAGUCCUCACAACACGUAGUGACAGCUAGAGCCAGGUCUCACAGCAAACUGCCAAAGAGGAACUUCCAACACCCAUUACAACGUUUUAAACCCCAAACGCCUACUAGGUGAUGGGGACAGGAAGAGGAGGGGAGGAGGUUGUCAAUCUCUGUCUUUCUCUCCUCUUCCUUGGCGAGGGCAGAACGACUGGAACAAGAAGAGUCUAAAGUCUCAGAUACACUAGGGAGAGAACUGUUUAUGGAUCAGCUGCUCAUAAUCAAGCUGAAGAGGAGUCUCUGGUCACUAUCCUCUCUCCCCUCAUAUGUAUCCUAUGUCCAAACAGGUGCUCCUUAAUGCUAUUACAUUAAAGGCCCUGUGCAGAGAAUGUUUCUUCUUCAUUUUUCAAAUUUCAUAUCACAGAAUUAUCAGAGUGAGAAGAGCAAAGACAUAGUCCGUAGUACAAGUAUUUCAUGAUUGAACGGAAAGAAAUCCAGGCUGUGUGAGUGUGUGACUGACUGAUAUGUUGAUGGGUGUUUCAUGGAAGGCUGAGACGCACAGGCGCGGUAAGCCGAUAGUACACUGGGAUUAGGGGGUUGUUGGAUUUUACAGUACAAGCAGCAGGUUGCUGGAUCUUACAGUACAAGCAGCAGGUUGCUGGAUCUUACAGUACAAGCAGCAGGUUGCUGGAUCUUACAGUACAAGCAGCAGGUUGCUGGAUCUUACAGUACAAGCAGCAGGUUGUUGGGUUUGUUUGCAUGAAUAACGUCCAAACCUCUCUCUCAGAAACGAUAUGACAUCAUUGACAUCAUCCUGUGUACAAGGUCCUCUCAGGAGCAUUGAUGGUUCUUUACACGUCUGUAAAAUCACAGUAGCAUUAGGGUGGAUCAUGUGUUUUCACACUUAUACAAUGGUUCAGUUGUUUUCAUGAAGAAAAUUAGAAAGUCUUAUUUUUUUAUUGCACAGACAGGAAGUUAAAGAGUGUGAUUCUAUCUUCACAGCUGGAAUCCAGUGGAUGAUGCAAAACAGAGAAAUCUGAGGGAAAAGGAGAGAGAGAGAGAGAGAGAGAGAGAGAGAGAGAGAG
Molecule: long non-coding RNA, 3455 nt
Organism: Oncorhynchus tshawytscha (Chinook salmon)
Lineage: Eukaryota; Metazoa; Chordata; Actinopteri; Salmoniformes; Salmonidae
Source: Ensembl